Long non-coding RNA from Mus musculus (house mouse), 785 nucleotides. RefSeq annotates it as predicted gene, 32307. The record is from RefSeq and is a predicted model, not a curated record. NCBI's taxonomy places the organism in Eukaryota, Metazoa, Chordata, Mammalia, Rodentia, Muridae. The transcript is spliced from 3 exons.
UUGGAGAUGUUUUCAGUGUGUGUGGCCUGUGAUAAACUUUUUGAUGGGUUCUGAGAGCCCCAGAAUGCCCAGAGAACAAAGGAGAGGGAGAUGGAUCAUGAGGCUCCACACUUGGGGACAUGGAGGGCAUCCAGAUCCUAAGGCACAGGUGGCUCUUUGGCCUUGGCUUAUGUCUGCUUGGGAUGCAGAUGGCCUCAGUGAUGCAAGUUGCCUGCUGCACAGAAGUGUGGACCAAGUGUUGUGGGACAGACAAGGCAAUGCUGGGAUGCUGGCCAAGGGAGUGACCUUGAAGAAUGACCACAGCUGGCUGCUUAGGAGGUGGAAAGACAGAUUUGGUCCUCUGGGAACAUCUGCUGAAGGCGAGGAAAGCAGGGAGGAGAGACUCCCAGGAGAAGAUGAGAGAGGCUGCACUUCAGGAUCCAGCUCAAACCAGUCCCUGCCAGGGCGAGGUGUUCCAUGCUUUCCAAAGCUUACCAGGUCCAUUAUCUCUGUGACCUAGAGACAGGCCUGCCAACCGGGCUUGUGUGAGGUCACUGUGCCCUGUGCGUGACGCCCUCCCUCCAAAGCCUCGUGCAUCCAUUCCUUCCCCUCCAUCGCACCUCAGCUCUGAUCAUCUCUCAAGGGUGAAGCAAUAGGUUUCUGCUCGGCUCCUGCUCCCAGCUCGUGCCCUCUAGCCGCCUGAGUGAUCAUUCUGCACUACAAAUUUGUUCAUUCUGCAGUUGGCUGAACAGCUUCCAUCAGCCGCCGGAGGGAGCAGAAUAAAAUUCUGACUUCUUUGCACCCAA